Papilio polytes (common Mormon) is the source of this 999-nucleotide long non-coding RNA. RefSeq lists it as uncharacterized. NCBI's taxonomy places the organism in Eukaryota, Metazoa, Arthropoda, Insecta, Lepidoptera, Papilionidae. The record is from RefSeq and is a predicted model, not a curated record. The transcript has 3 exons.
GCGCAUCUUCGUUUUUUAAACGUUUAAUUUAUUAUCAAAUAAAAUAAACACAGUGCUGUUAUUAGUUAUAGCAGAACAAUGAAAAUGUUAACUUAAUUAAUCAGACAUGCAAGUUAUUGAAAUACUACAUCUCAAUUAAUAAAUUAUCCAGAAUGGUGAAUGAUUACCUUCGGCUGGUGGACUAUGGUGCUUUAUUCACAUUUCUGAUAUUUAUAUCUCUGUCAAUAGGAUGCUGCACAUGGUGUUACUGCAUAAGAGCCCAUGACAAAGCAAUAGAGCAUUAUGUGACAAAUUUGGCAAAGAAGAAUGGAAUACAAGUGGAACCUUACACAAUACAAACAGAGCCUUGUUGCCGAUCACCUCAUGCUAAUGAGAACUGUUCCAUUUUUGUGCCAGAUGUAGGUAUUAUACUGUAAACCCUUAUUAUCUUUACAAUUUUUAUACAAAUGUGAAUAAAAUGACAACACACAUGCAUCAGCUAACUAGCUGCUAGCGUGUCACCCAAAAUAAUAAUAAUUAGACCAUGCGGAUACAGCAGCAAUAAAUUUGUGAUUAACUUUACCCUUAAGUCUUAACUUUAAUACACAAGCACUUUUGACGCUCGCCAUUCAUCGUAGUAGUAGUAGGGGUUACAGUUUCCACAACUCCAUGGCUAGCGCGUAUUUUGCGUGAGGAACAUGACGUGGAUUAUUCCAGCCAACUUAACUAUCCGAAAAACCCCAGCAAACCCUUUAUGUUGCUGGUGAUCUCCGGGAGCGAUCUUAGCAAACCGAGAUACCUAACCCUGUAUUCACUGGGCAGUGUUAUAUGACAUGUGAUGCGGGUUCUUCCUCCACCAUACAUGUUCUGCAUAAUGUACUGUUUCACACCUAUGUUGUACAGGUGUUUGUUGAAGUGCAGUGACCAGUGAUUCCAUUCACCAUUCAUCUUACAUAAUAAAGAAUUAUGUAUUUACGAUUUAUGAAAGGUUUAUCGGCACAAAGUCUGUAGAGACUAAUA